UACGGAGGAUGCGAGCGUUAUCCGGAUUUAUUGGGCGUAAAGGGAACGCAGGCGGUCUUUUAAGUCUGAUGUGAAAGCCUUCGGCUUAACCGGAGUAGUGCAUUGGAAACUGGGAGACUUGAGUGCAGAAGAGGAGAGUGGAACUCCAUGUGUAGCGGUGAAAUGCGUAGAUAUAUGGAAGAACACCAGUGGCGAAAGCGGCUCUCUGGUCUGUAACUGACGCUGAGGUUCGAAAGCGUGGGGAGCAAACAGG
Molecule: ribosomal RNA, 253 nt
Filed under: uncultured bacterium
Lineage: Bacteria
Description: partial 16S ribosomal RNA
Rfam family: Bacterial small subunit ribosomal RNA
Source: RNAcentral